UUCCGACGCAGAGGUGGGAGGUUGGAGGUCGGAGGUCGGAGGUUAGAGGAGUGGAGGGUUACCUGCUUGUCGGGAUGGUGUCGAGCGAGGUUUCUGUGUCUGGAGCCAGGGCUCUGGGCGAAUCGAGGCCCGCGCAGUAAUGAAAGCGAGAGCGCGGGCCGAGUUGGGCCACUCGGGCUUUCGUGCGGGCGCGGCCUGAAUGUGUAGACGUUCCGGACGAGCUGGUGCAGAAGUGACAGCGAAUCGGAAGAUGUGAAGAUGGAAGGGAUCCUGUACAAGUGGACCAAUUACCUGACGGGUUGGCAACCUCGUUGGUUCGUCCUGGAUAAUGGCAUACUUUCCUAUUAUGAUUCUCAGGAUGACGUUAACAAAGGCAGCAAAGGAAGUAUCAAAAUGGCUGUAUGUGAAAUUAAAGUUCAUUCAACAGACAGCACACGAAUGGAAUUAAUUAUUCCUGGAGAGCAGCAUUUCUAUGUGAAAUCAGUCAACGCUGCUGAAAGACAGAGAUGGUUGGUGGCACUAGGAAGUUCAAAAGCUUGUCUCACAGAUACCAGGACUAAAAAGGAAAAAGAAAUCAGUGAAACCAAUGAGUCUCUCAAAACAAAGAUGUCAGAACUUCGGUUGUACUGUGACUUGUUGAUGCAGCAAGUUCAUACGAUACAAGAGUCUGUCAAACAAGACCAGCCGAGUUUAUCUCCUCCUGAGACUAUGAAUGAAGCUUCCUCCUUGCUCAGUGCCACUUGCAAUACAUUCAUUUCAACUCUUGAUGAGUGUAUGAAGAUAGCUAAUGCCAAGUUUAAACCGGAAAUGUUCCAGUUUUCUCUCGCUGAUCCACUUGUCUCUCCUGUAUCACCUUCACCUGUUCAGAUGGUUCGGAUAAAACGAUCCAUUAGUCAUCCAGGUACCAUUCUUUAUGAUGGCAGGAAACUGAACACAAUUUACCAAAAAGAAGCAGUUAUUGUGACACCACAUGAGGAAGUACCCAGGACAAUGUCGGAAUAUUCAGGUGUUGAAUCAAACAGUGAUAGCGCUCUGGACUACGCAGAAAAGACUGCUCAGAUUUCUUGCAAUUCCUUACCUACUGCAAAUGGUGAAUUCCCAUCAGUGGUCAUUCCAGAAGAAAAUGUUGGGAACUCAAGGAAUAAAUUAUCUGAGACAGAGAGUCCUUUUGUUGCACUUUCAAGUUGAAAACAUGUGAAUUAAAAUGGAUUGAAAAGAUGGUCACUCCGCUAAUAUUGCUGUGCAGUUACUGCUGGCAUUUAUAUAUUCCAAUAAGGACAAUUUGCCAGAACACCAAUGUAAAGGGGAGCAACACUUAUGUACUUUGUGAGAAGAUGUACCAAGCUUUGUUUAAAUUUAAACCAGAAUGGACUCACUGAUCAAGGCUUUGCACUGAAGAAUUAACCAAAGAAUGGCUGUCAUCCACUCUGUUUAGUUGAAGCGGGCAUAUUUUGUGUACCUGUUCUUUCUGUUUGCAAGCAACUGAACCAUGUAUAUUAAUAUAAGUAACUUCAGUACACAAAACUAUACUACACUGAGUCUGACUGACCAUCUUAAAUUGUUUGUCAGUGUAAUGUUUAGCACAAUCAGGAUUAUUUAGCAAGUGUUAUUCAUUUGCAGAAUCACAUCUAAUGUUGGGCAAUAGGGUUAGAGUUUUAAAUACAUGGGCUGGUUGGGUGCAGUUAGUAAUGCCAGUCAUCAUCUAACUGUGAUGUUUCUUCCAUUCAGAGUCCAUCUGCCAACCAAUCGGCAUGUUCUUCUCGCACAGUUUAAAAAAGAAGUUGUUCUCCUUUACAUUGAUAUUCUUGUGAAUUGGCUUGAUGAAUGCAAAAUGAAAAUCUUCAAAAUAUAUUUUUUGUCAGUGGCACUUUUUAAAAAAUUAAAUAUAAAUAGCUGGUUAUUCUUUAAUGAAAGCAUUUCUCCAGUAUAGCCAAGAGCAUCUAAUAAUGAGAAUACUUGUGUUGAUAUAUUUUCUGUCCAAGCCAUCAAUGGACACUUUUCAAAACAACUUAACACCUGUUGAUUGUACAUAGAAUAAAUUCCAUUCACGCCAUACAUUUUAUCUGCAGCCUUUUGCAUCUACAUAUGACUCGUAAUUAUUUUUGAACAGUUUUGAAAUUUUCCAUUAACUCCUGAGCAAAUUCUUACCAGUGCCAAAUCCCACUUGUUUCGGUACUCUGCAAAGCCAGAUUUGAUUCUACAUUUUUUCUUUGCAGCAUAUGAUUCCAGCCUGUUUGUACUCACAUUAUAUAUGAAAUGAUGAAACCAUGCCUGGUAUUUAACUACCUUAGGAAACACAUCUUAAGUGCAUCUAAUUUCCUUUAGUUCCCAUGCCAAUGUAAAAUUUGGAAUUCUGAGGACAUAUUGCGCGAGGUAAGAUGAUCCUGUUCUUCAACACAACACUAGAACUUUGUAAUUUAGGAACUCAGUAUUUUCAACGAUAGCAAUAAUGUCUAGAAAAUGAAAGCUUAAAAUGCAGAAAAUUUUUGAUUUUCUCUAAAAUAUCUUCUGAAUUCUGAGAAAAUAAUGUUUAAGCUUGCCAUAAAAUGUAAGUAUUACCCUUUAAUGCAUUCCUGUUUUGACACCAGGACAUUAAUCAAUGUUACAACAUAAUAGACUAUUCAUCUUCUGUUAUAAGGCAUCAAAAUAUCCUACAACAGAUUGCAACAUGGCUUAAAAGUACCUUUCAAAUUGAAAAAUUAUCAUAUUGGAUGGAUAUCUUUUAAGUGCUGCAGCUCAAUUCAGUGACCACUGAGAUCUGUGCCAACUAGCCAAUGAUUUUUAACUUCACAAGUACUGGAAUACUACCAAAUGUAGUUGUUAAAGAUAAAGCAUCUAUGGUAGAAUAGUUAUUUUUUAAAGUCUAGAUGUAUGAUGCAUUGUUAAAUUCUAAUUUAGACUUUUUUGUAGCUCGAAUUUAUUUCUUUCUAAACAAAAUUCCCGCAAGUUCUGUUGUUUCAACCAAGUGGACCAAAAAGUACAUUCAAAUGUAUUAACAAUUUUUAAUAAUGAAAGAAAAUAUUUUUGGUGUGUAUAUGUGUGUAUAUAUAUACACUGAGGGAAUACUUAACUGAAGUAUCUUUGUAUACUUUUAUUGAAGGUUUAAUUGUCCACAGUACUGAAAAGAUGAUCUGUAUUGUAAGAAUAAAAACUUGCUCUUGCCAUUUGUCUAUGAUUUCUUACCUUGUUCCCGAUGUGAAUUCUAAUUGAUCAAAUAAAAG
Molecule: RNA transcript, 3221 nt
Organism: Rhincodon typus (whale shark)
Lineage: Eukaryota; Metazoa; Chordata; Chondrichthyes; Orectolobiformes; Rhincodontidae
Gene: plekha3
Gene name: pleckstrin homology domain containing, family A (phosphoinositide binding specific) member 3
Exons: 9
Source: RefSeq, a predicted model, not a curated record